GCCGAAGUGGCGGAACUGGCAGACGCACGCGACUCAAAAUCGCGCGGAGUGACCCUCCAUGGGGGUUCGAUUCCCCCCUUCGGCACCA
This 88-nucleotide transfer RNA is filed under the name Bacillota bacterium. RNAcentral describes it as "Firmicutes bacterium (anaerobic digester metagenome) tRNA-Leu". It matches the Rfam family "tRNA". Rfam says of the family: Transfer RNA (tRNA) molecules are approximately 80 nucleotides in length. RNAcentral also lists the same sequence under 2 other names. Lineage: Bacteria; Bacillati; Bacillota. The record is from RNAcentral.